This 468-nucleotide ribosomal RNA is filed under the name uncultured bacterium. Its description in RNAcentral is "partial 16S ribosomal RNA". It matches the Rfam family "Bacterial small subunit ribosomal RNA", at positions 28 to 507 of the family's 1533-position model. The record is from RNAcentral.
GACGAACGCUGGCGGCGUGCUUAACACAUGCAAGUCGAACGGAAAGGCCCUGCUUUUGUGGGGUGCUCGAGUGGCGAACGGGUGAGUAACACGUGAGUAACCUGCCCUUGACUUUGGGAUAACUUCAGGAAACUGGGGCUAAUACCGGAUAGGAGCUCCUGCUGCAUGGUGGGGGUUGGAAAGUUUCGGCGGUUGGGGAUGGACUCGCGGCUUAUCAGCUUGUUGGUGGGGUAGUGGCUUACCAAGGCUUUGACGGGUAGCCGGCCUGAGAGGGGGACCGGCCACAUUGGGACUGAGAUACGGCCCAGACUCCUACGGGAGGCAGCAGUGGGGAAUAUUGCACAAUGGGCGGAAGCCUGAUGCGACAACGCCGCGUGCGGGAUGACGGCCUUCGGGUUGUAAACCGCUUUCGCCUGUGACGAGGCGUGAGUGACGGUAAUGGGUAAAGAAGCACCGGCUAACUACGUG